UUUGGAACACACAGAAAUUCACAGAGUUGGGUAGAGUAGAGAGGGGUUAGGGAGGAGACACAGGCGACCUAGUGGAGAAAAAGGAGAGUCCAAAGGGAGAGAGAGCAGUUAAGCCAGUAAUCUCGCUCCCUAGUGAAAAAUGGGUACUGAAGAUUGGGUUCUUAAAGGUACAAAAUUGGUAACAAAUACAUAAAAGCAAAAAUUUAAAAUCUAGAGUAGAGUUUGGAAUUUCAAGAAUAUGAUGUUAAAGAAAAGAAGAAGGAAAAGAAAGAGAGAAAAAACGAACAAACAAAAACAAACAAGGUCGCAAAAAUUAUAAAGAAAAUAUAGGUACAAAAUUGAUAACUAAUACCAAAAAGCAAAAGUUAAAAAUCUAGAGUAGAGUUUGGAAUUUCAAAAAUACAAUGUUAAAGAAAAGAAGGAAAAAGAAAAAAAAAAAGAGAAAAAACGAACAAACAAAAACAAACAAGGUCGCAAAAAUUAUAAAGAAAAUAUAGGUACAAAAUUGAUAACUAAUACCAAAAAGCAAAAGUUAAAAAUCUAGAGUAGAGUUUGGAAUUUCAAAAAUACAAUGUUAAAAAAAGAAGAAGAAAAAUAAAGAGAAAAAAAACCAAACAAGAACAAACAAGGUCGCAAAAAUUAUAAAGAAAAUAUAGGUACAAAAUUGAUAACUAAUACCAAAAAGCAAAAGUUAAAAAUCUACAGUAGAGUUUGGAAUUUCAAAAAUACAAUGUUAAAAAAAAGAAGAAGAAAAAGAAAGAGAGAGAAAAAAAACAAAAGCAA
This is a long non-coding RNA of Bos taurus (domestic cattle), 783 nucleotides long. The record is from Ensembl. Lineage: Eukaryota; Metazoa; Chordata; Mammalia; Artiodactyla; Bovidae.